AUGAGGAUAGGCGGGCUUUUCUGAGACGUGUGAUGAGUGCGGUCGUAUCCGA
RNAcentral lists this small nucleolar RNA (52 nucleotides) under Aeropyrum pernix K1. Its description in RNAcentral is "APEsR4". The record is from RNAcentral. Lineage: Archaea; Thermoproteati; Thermoproteota; Thermoprotei; Acidilobales; Acidilobaceae.